This 258-nucleotide ribosomal RNA is filed under the name uncultured bacterium. Its description in RNAcentral is "partial 16S ribosomal RNA". It matches the Rfam family "Bacterial small subunit ribosomal RNA", at positions 793 to 1055 of the family's 1533-position model. The record is from RNAcentral.
GUCCACGCCCUAAACGAUGAAUACUCGCUGUUAGCGAUAUACAGUUAGCGGCUAAGCGAAAGCGUUAAGUAUUCCACCUGGGGAGUACGCUCGCAAGAGUGAAACUCAAAGGAAUUGACGGGGCCCGCACAAGCGGAGGAGCAUGUGGUUUAAUUCGAUGAUACGCGAGGAACCUUACCCGGGCUUGAAAGUUAGUGAAGAUUUUCAGAGAUGAAUUCGUCCGCAAGGACACGAAACUAGGUGCUGCAUGGCUGUCGU